This is a long non-coding RNA of Mauremys mutica (yellowpond turtle), 681 nucleotides long. RefSeq lists it as uncharacterized. The record is from RefSeq and is a predicted model, not a curated record. Lineage: Eukaryota; Metazoa; Chordata; Testudines; Geoemydidae. The transcript has 3 exons.
AAAAAGAGAGGCAACACCCAAGAAGCCUGUGUGCUGAAGGACGAGUGUUAAGGAGGAAACAGUUUCAGGAGGGGGCAGGAGGAGAGAGAAUCACCUUGGGAAAAAGUAGCACCCAGAGGUUUUGUGCUAGGCGGCAUUGUGCUAGGUAACGUUCACACAUCUAGCAAGAGACAGUCCCUGGCCCGGAGAGCAUGCUAUCGAAAUAAAGACCACGAAAGGUGACUUUGGUCUUGGAGGUCAAAAGCAACCAAGUCUAGUCAGCUGCUUUGAUUUGUCUGUUUCCAGUGGACAGAAUUGAAAAGUGGAGACAUGACAUUCAGAGAACAAAAUUAUUAUUUUUUCAAAAAAAUCAUGAGGAUGUUUGUCCACCCAGCUGCACCUGAGCAGCUUAAAUUUCUACAUGGAUUUGUGGAUGGAUUCGUUUUAAAGGAAUUGUAAAGUGCACAGAGUUAUUGUACAAACCAGGUCUAAUAAGCAUGUAAUUAACUACCCUGGAGUUAAAUGUAAUUGCUCUCUAAACACACCACCAUUUUUACACAUCCCUGAGGUCACCUGGAAACUAGAUUUGAAGCUGUCAACUGGUUUAAAGAUUAGUCACCAUGUAAGCUGAGGUUUCUAACUUUCCCAUAAGGCUCCAAUUUAGGAGACAGAAAUAGCUCAAGAGUUGCCCUCUGAUUUACC